Molecule: ribosomal RNA, 490 nt
Filed under: uncultured bacterium
Lineage: Bacteria
Description: partial 16S ribosomal RNA
Rfam family: Bacterial small subunit ribosomal RNA
Source: RNAcentral
AUUGAACGCUGGCGGCAGGCCUAACACAUGCCAGUCGAACGGUAACAGGAAGCAGCUUGCUGCUUCGCUGACGAGUGGCGGACGGGUGAGUAAUGUCUGGGAAGCUGCCUGAUGGAGGGGGAUAACUACUGGAAACGGUAGCUAAUACCGCAUAAUGUCGCAAGACCAAAGAGGGGGACCUUCGGGCCUCUUGCCAUCGGAUGUGCCCAGAUGGGAUUAGCUUGUUGGUGGGGUAACGGCUCACCAAGGCGACGAUCCCUAGCUGGUCUGAGAGGAUGACCAGCCAUACUGGAACUGAGACACGGUCCAGACUCCUACGGGAGGCAGCAGUGGGGAAUAUUGCACAAUGGGCGCAAGCCUGAUGCAGCCAUGCCGCGUGUAUGAAGAAGGCCUUCGGGUUGUAAAGUACUUUCAGCGGGGAGGAAGGGAGUAAAGUUAAUACCUUUGCUCAUUGACGUUACCCGCAGAAGAAGCACCGGCUAACUCCGUG